AGAGUUCGAGGCCAGCCUGGUCUACAGAGUGAGUUCCAGGACAGCCAGGGCUACACAGAGAAACUCUGUCUCGGAAAAAAAGAAGAUAAACCCAAAAGGAUAGCCAGUCUCCGGCUGGACCCAGAGAUCUUGGUUGUUGGAAUAGACAUGGCAGGCUUUGCAUCUUAUCGUUUACAAAGAAUUAUAGUUUUGGGGCUGGAGAGAUGGCUCAGUGGUUAAGAGCACUGACUGCUCUUUCAAAGGUCCUGAGUUCAAUUCCCACCAACCACAUGGUGGCUCACAACCAUCUGUAAUGUGAUCGGGUGCCUUCUUCUGGUGUGUCUGAAGACAGCUGUAGUGUACUCAUAUACAUAAAAUAAAUAAAUCUUUAAAAAAUUACAGUUUUACCUUAUAUUUGCUGUAGGUUUUUGGUUCAGAACUGUGUUUGAGUAAGGCAGAAACUCAGUAAGAGAUGGCUUGCAGGAAGCUCAGGCAUGCUGGCUUGCCUGGUCCCCUGCUGUUUGGCAUCACACAGCACAGCCAGAUGCUCUGGCACAUGCCUGCCACCCAGCCACUGGAAAGGCUGAGGUCAGAGAAUCUCCUAAGCCACAAAGUCCCAAGCCAGCUUGGGCAAUGUGGUGAGACCCUGUGUUGCCUCUACCCCCAGAUAUACAUGAUUGUCUGACACCAUUUAUACUAUUUCACACUCUAAGACCCCUGGGUAGGUAAAGCUACUUGUUCUGAGCUAUAUGAUCAUCCCUUCCUUGUCCUUAAUUAUAAGGUAACCUGGACAGAUGUGGAUGAGGCCCCAGCAGAUAAUUGGGAUGCUGUUUUACACCUCCAGCUGCAAAGGAGUCUCUCUCCCAUGGUCCAGGUCCCUGUCUGCAAGUCGAGAUGUACUGACCUAUGUAUGACUGCCUUGGCCCUCAAGCCAGGAGGAACUUUCCAGUGCUAGAAAUAAAAGGUGCCGGUCACCCCUUCCUCCCUCCUAGAGAGUCACCCAUUGUCCUUCCUGACCCUGGUCUCUAAGGUGUGGUGUUGGGCUGUACCCUUAGCCUACAGUCUCUCUCCCGCAGGGGUAGCUGCUGCUGCUGCACUCUGUGGGGGCCCCUGGUUCCCAUGUUUAAGCCUGCAUAGUGCAGGGCAGCCUCAGAGGAGACCCCGCCCUGCCUCUGCCAAGGCGGACUUUUAAGCGUUUUUAUGAGCUGUUUUGAUACCUUUUCAUACAGUUUGCUACUCACCAUUUUGUAGGGUGCCUGCUGGGGUCCCCCCUCCCUGGGUCUUCACUUAGGCUCAGCGCCUUGGUUUGUCUAGAUCGUGGAUGCCCUGCUGUACAUGUGCACCUUGCAUGGUGUGACUUUGUCUUCCAUCCCACCCUUCUUCUAUGUGAACGAUCUAAAGCAGCCGGAGCGCUGAUGUCCCUGGAGGGCAGGUCCUGUGCUUCGGAGGGUUGGUUCUUCUGCCAGAGUUCCUGCCUCAGAGGAGUGCAGAGUGGGAGAGUUACCUGAAGCUGGUCUAUUUCCCUAACACAUGUGUGGCUGGGGUCCUAGUCUCUUCCUAUCUACCCAUCCAGUAAGGAGUGCCUAACUCCACAGCUAUGACCAUGGCAUCUUGUCCUUUCACUCUAUAACCUCUGACCUCCAGGUGGGUGGUAUCCCUGUGUGUUCAAUGUGACUAGAAUCGGUGGCCUCGGGAGGGGAGCUGAGUGCCUUAAACUGUCCCUCAGUUGUCUCAGUUAACAGCACUGAAUGAAUGGGGCUGGGAUGAGGGUUCAGUCAGUAACGUGCUCCCCUGGAAGGCAGGAAGUCCGUGGGUGCCAUCCCCAUAAACUGAGCAUGGUGAUCUCAGCACUUGGGAGGUGGAGGCAGGAGGAUUACAAGUUCAAGGUCUUCCUUGACUACACAGCAGGUUUGAGGCCAGCCCUGGCUACAGGAGAACCCUGUUUUGACUUAGUUGAUGAACUAAUGAUAAACUGAUAAGUGAAAGCAUCGGAUAAACAUAACAGUAUGCACCUGGGUUGACCCAGGAAGCGCUGGUCCUGAGGUUUGAUGUUAAAGCCAUCAACAGCUGGCCCCAGUCGAAAUCAGGGACGUUCUGGUGAGCUGAAAGCAUGUGGUGCCUUCUGGCUCCUGAUGUCACGGGAAUCUGUAACUGUAUAUGCUUUUUAAUGUGUAGCUUUUGUGUUUGUAAUUUUAAUUUUACGGCAUUCAGAGUUUUCCUGUCUCGCCUCCUUGGUUGACAGUUUGCAUGUUGCUUCUGUUUUGAAUUCCACUGGCACACAUUAAAAGAACUUGCCUGCC
Molecule: long non-coding RNA, 2279 nt
Filed under: Mus musculus (house mouse)
Lineage: Eukaryota; Metazoa; Chordata; Mammalia; Rodentia; Muridae
Description: long non-coding RNA chr8:119879047-119881326
Source: RNAcentral